Molecule: long non-coding RNA, 898 nt
Organism: Drosophila ficusphila
Lineage: Eukaryota; Metazoa; Arthropoda; Insecta; Diptera; Drosophilidae
Exons: 2
Source: RefSeq, a predicted model, not a curated record
CUGCAUGUCUGUCCGUAUGUCCUCCUGUCUGUUUCUAUGUAAACAAGUCUCUCAGUUUUAAAGUUAUCUUGCCAGUGGCGGAUUUACGGGAGUGGUUUUAGGGGUUCAAACCCCUACCAAAAAGCCCCGCAGAGCCGUAAAAAUAUCGUAUUUUUUUUCAAUCGAAAACCCCCCCACCAGAUUAAAAUUCUAAAUUUUAAACACCAGGCCAACAUAACCGCUUAGCAGGUGUAAAUCGAUCAGCUGAUCAGCUUAAAAUUGGCUUGUUCAGUGUUGAGCUCGUGACAAAUUAUUCUUGUCACGCCAACAACAACCACAUGGAAAUUAAUUAAUUACUUGUGCGCGGCGUGCUAUUUCGUGACACGCACAAAGAAUCAGCGUGGUUUCGCAUCUCUGAUCUGAUGUUUAAUUGGAAAUAACGGUUCUUUCGAGUGAUGCGGCGUUCUGAUUGGUGGAAACAGUGAGGGAAAGUGUGCCAAGGACAGUUAACUUAAAAAAGAACCGUUACUUAAGUAAAUUCAGUUGUACCAGCUGCAACCUGCUAUUGAUUAUGUUGGCCUGGUGUCAGAAAUCGAAUUUCAUAUUGAAAUUGGCUGGUUUCAAGAUCCCAAACACCAGGCAAACAGAAAGGCUUAGUAGGAAUCAACGAGAGCAGCUGGAGCCUGGGCGCCUUCCCUGCCUCCCUGGCACAUAAAACCAAGUUUGGGCCAGAUCCACAGCAGAGCAGGUCAGCGAGGGCUUCUACUUCUCCACUACUCUCUUUCCGGAACUUAUUCGCGGACGAUUAUUACUGGACGAGCAGAGCGAGGAGCAGAUAUUAGUUUUAUGAUAAGAAAAUUUAUUUGAAUUGUACAAACCUAAAAGCAUAAUGUUUAAUCAUAAUAUAAAAUAAUAGUAA